Molecule: long non-coding RNA, 247 nt
Filed under: Solanum tuberosum (potato)
Lineage: Eukaryota; Viridiplantae; Streptophyta; Magnoliopsida; Solanales; Solanaceae
Description: long non-coding RNA (STUB_LNC001346)
Source: RNAcentral
GGGACUUGUUUCCGGUUGUGUUUUUGAGUUGAAUCUAUGGUAUAUUGAGGGUGUUAAUGAUUCUAAGUGAUUUGGGGAAGAAACCAUUCGAUUUUAGGUGAAAUAAGGUGAGAAAACGAGAAAAUGAGCAUGCUGAAAUUUCUGGGUUGGGGGCCUGGCGCGACGCGCCUGCCAGAGCGCCCCAAACUCACCUCUGAAGUUUAGGGGCUGGCGCCCCGCGCCACCCAUGGCGCCAAGGUCACUUGCN